RNAcentral lists this ribosomal RNA (488 nucleotides) under uncultured bacterium. RNAcentral describes it as "bacterial SSU rRNA". It matches the Rfam family "Bacterial small subunit ribosomal RNA", at positions 1 to 507 of the family's 1533-position model. The record is from RNAcentral.
AGUAGUUUGAUCGAUGGCUCAGGACGACGCUGGCGGCGUGCUUAACACAUGCAAGUCGAACGGAAAGGCCCUGCUUUUGUGGGGUGCUCGAGUGGCGAACGGGUGAGUAACACGUGAGUAACCUGCCCUUGACUUUGGGAUAACUUCAGGAAACUGGGGCUAAUACCGGAUAGGAGCUCCUGCUGCAUGGUGGGGGUUGGAAAGUUUCGGCGGUUGGGGAUGGACUCGCGGCUUAUCAGCUUGUUGGUGGGGUAGUGGCUUAUCAAGGCUUUGACGGGUAGCCGGCCUGAGAGGGUGACCGGCCACAUUGGGACUGAGAUACGGCCCAGACUCCUACGGGAGGCAGCAGUGGGGAAUAUUGCACAAUGGGCGAAGCCUGAUGCAGCAACGCCGCGUGCGGGAUGACGGCCUUCGGGUUGUAAACCGCUUUCGCCUGUGACGAAGCGUGAGUGACGGUAAUGGGUAAAGAAGCACCGGCUAACUACGUG